RNAcentral lists this transfer RNA (73 nucleotides) under Coniophora olivacea. RNAcentral's name for it is "tRNA-Ser". Lineage: Eukaryota; Fungi; Basidiomycota; Agaricomycetes; Boletales; Coniophoraceae. The record is from RNAcentral.
AAUAUCGUAAUUAAAUUAGGCAUAAUAUUAACUUAGACAGUUAAACUUGCCAGUUCAAAUCUGGUCGAUAUUC